This 301-nucleotide ribosomal RNA is filed under the name uncultured bacterium. RNAcentral describes it as "partial 16S ribosomal RNA". It matches the Rfam family "Bacterial small subunit ribosomal RNA", at positions 509 to 807 of the family's 1533-position model. The record is from RNAcentral.
CAGCCGCCGCGGUAAUACGAAGGGGGCUAGCGUUGCUCGGAAUCACUGGGCGUAAAGGGUGCGUAGGCGGGUCUUUAAGUCAGGGGUGAAAUCCUGGAGCUCAACUCCAGAACUGCCUUUGAUACUGAAGAUCUUGAGUUCGGGAGAGGUGAGUGGAACUGCGAGUGUAGAGGUGAAAUUCGUAGAUAUUCGCAAGAACACCAGUGGCGAAGGCGGCUCACUGGCCCGAUACUGACGCUGAGGCACGAAAGCGUGGGGAGCAAACAGGAUUAGAUACCCCAGUAGUCCCUGUCUCUUAUAC